UGCCCAACCCCUGGCUGUGAUGGAUCUGGUCAUGUAAAUUCAAAAUAUUCAGUUCACCACAGAGUGGCUGGAUGCCCUCUUGCAGAGAAAAAUGCUGCCAACAGUUUGGAAGUCACAACAAAUGGAACAAGUCCAUCUUCUAGCAUUAGACAAGGAGGACGAAGUGUUAAAAAACACAAGUUUGAGAACAGAGAUGUGAACAGAAAACCUGAGGUUCAGCAUGCUGAGUUUUCCAGAAAGAAAACAAAAUUUUCUAUUGACUUAUUACAUCGUUAGUUCCUGUGAAGAUUGGUGAUUAACAUGAAAAGAUUUUCCUACCAUACAGGGGAUGAGGAAUCAAAGUCAAGCCAGUCCUCACUACAAGAGUAUGUUCACCAGUCUGUAUUUGAUCCU
This is a long non-coding RNA of Limulus polyphemus (Atlantic horseshoe crab), 393 nucleotides long. RefSeq lists it as uncharacterized. NCBI's taxonomy places the organism in Eukaryota, Metazoa, Arthropoda, Merostomata, Xiphosura, Limulidae. The transcript is spliced from 3 exons. The record is from RefSeq and is a predicted model, not a curated record.